This is a long non-coding RNA of Gallus gallus (chicken), 3115 nucleotides long. Lineage: Eukaryota; Metazoa; Chordata; Aves; Galliformes; Phasianidae. The record is from Ensembl.
CUCAAAUUGCUCUCAUUUAGGUUCCUGAUGUUCAUCUGUGAUCUGCAGGGAUUGCUCUGCUGCUCUGAAUUGCACCAGAGCAAUCCCAGCCAACUGAACAGACGCUCCUCUUCACUCCUCUGCUUUAUGGUGAUGAUGCCACUGGUACUGGACCUUUGGAGACACAGUUACUUCUCCUGAUCACCACUGGGUUCCUUCACAGCCUGCUGUUACUCCUGCUUCUCUGAAGUAUAUACUCUUAUGUUGGAUGGGAAAAUAUGGCCUCUAACAACAUGAGUAACAUCCUUUCACUGCACACCAGUUGCACAUAGAGAAGAGGAAAACUAGAAUGUCAAGAAGGAAAAAGCACCAUCUCUUUUACCUGUCAGUACUAGGACCUACAGACCUUUCCAUCUUAAUUUAUCAUGAAGACCUAGCUAAAAAUACAGUUCCUGACAAGUGGUUCCAAAUAAAUUAAUUGAAAACAUCAACAAGAAAGAUCAUUGACACUUCUGCUAGUUUUACUUUCCUGCAAAAUGAAUCAUUCUGGGUACUGCUGUUUCUUCUGUAGCCUGGAGUAUAACUGUUUACACAUUUAAAAGAGGAUUGUUCAGCUCAUGCAGUCACCUUGGAAAAUGCCAACCAGAUUCCUUUAUGAUGGAACUAAACUGGGAUAUAUUCCCUGGAAGCAUUGUGAAAAUACACCAACUGCAAAAAGGGACAAAGCUCAUGGGCAACACAAGGACCAAUCUAAAUUAAACUCCCCUUGAAAUGUGUACAUCGGGGACACUGGAUCUUAAACAUUAUUUGUUUUGUUUUGCAAAUCUACUGCUUAGCUACACUGCUAGACCAUACAUAACCCUGAAGACCAUAAAGUUUAUUCACUGAAUGCUGAACUUCUCUGAAAAUCUAAAUGUGAGAAUGACAAAAAGCAGUUCACAGACAUUGUAGUUCUUCUCUGCACAGAUAAAUGCACAGUGUCUCAAAAAUACUUCAACAGAGUCUUUUGAAAAUCCAUGGCAUCAUCGGAGAAACAGAGCUGACUGAUUUUGUCUGAAAAAAAAAUUUAGAAGAUGGUUUCAUUUGUAUUUUAGCACAGGAAAUUGUCAGAAGUCUGCCAACAGUUCUGUAAAAUUCUCCAUCUCCUCACUACUUCUUCAAUCUGCAUCCUUUCCCUAAUGAAAUAUACCAUCUCUGCUAUCAAUUCAGCAGUGUGCAAGCACACGCUCAGCUUUCUAGGAGCAAUUCAGUAACAUUCAACCACCCAGAUGUCUGGAAAUGUCUUCACCAGGAACCUGGCAUAACUGGUACAGAUGCUGAAGGAACCUGGGUGAUGGUUGGCAAAAAAGAGGGACUAAUACAAUUAAAAGAAGAUUAUACAAUUGCUGUCAACAACUCAGAUUGGAUAAAAUAUCAGUGCAUCAUACAUGAAGAUAAUUUAUAUGUGCAAGCUUUAAACAUGGAUAAUGUCUUGUGAAUUUCAUGAAGAAGAGAUCGAAUCAUUGCUAAUUCCGAAGUUCAGUAAAAGUAUGAAUGCUCACCAUAGGGAGAUCGCUUACUUUUCUGAAGGAAGGUGGCUGUAUUGGGGCAGUAUGUACAUUUGUGAACAACCGUUUUCAAGGAUGAAACACAGGAAGAGUAAAAUUUCACCAAAAAUCUCUGAUGAACACCUUGAGAACUCACAGAGAAUUGCAACCACUGCUAUAAAACCAGACAUUAAUGCAUUACUUUCACAAAAAAAGCUCUUGGUUGCAACUGACUCCCAGUCCUUGGACUCCCACCCACUUCAUAAUUAAGUGCCCUACCUGAAAAGAAGGAUGUGGUUUGUUUUCUGAGUGAGGAGAGAGAAGCUAAAUAUUUCCACUCCUGUAUAACAGAAAAUCCUCUGAUUUCAACGAGAUCACACCCCGAGUGGUUAGUUAAUACUGGAAACAUAAAAAGUAGCCAUGUAGGAAGACCCAUUUAGGCAGCCUUCUUACUCCUGAUGCAGUGAACUGAUUACCCAGGAUGAAGCUAAGCUAGCAGAAAAUGGAGAAAUGUAAUAGAUAUACAUCAGAGGAAACUGCGUCCAUCUUCCCUAGUGGAGAACAUCAUGAUGUUCUGCAGUGACUGCACUGGGCUAGGAAAAGAAAUGACUGCUGCUGGUAAGUGAACAGAAAAACAGAAGAGUGACUAACUAGGUCUGCAACAGGGAUAACAUCUCACUUUGCUUGGAACAGUACUGCAGCAGAACCCUGCAGUAUAGGAGCAGAAGUCUACUUCAUUAAAUACUGUAUGAUUAUAUGAAGUGUUAAAACACAGAAAUCACUACCAACUAUACUACCCAUCAUAACAUGCUCAGUUUGGACUUUGAGCUACCUUCAAAACUUUUUUAUUUUUAAUUAUUUUUUUAAAUAUAACAGUUCUGCCCAACACCAGAAUGGAUGAAGUAUAUAGCAGCUUUUGUGAACAUACACUGUGUUUGAAAACUAUGUUAUGUAUAUUUUAAUUUGGAGGUCAAAUUCUGUGGGUUCCCCUUAUUUAGGUUGUGCCAGCCCAUGGAAUCAACUAAAGUAACAUGGAUUUGGCCAUACAUCAGAGCAGGAAAGCAUACCGCAAAGAACCAUGGUUUUAUGUCUGUGCAGUUAUGCCACAUUCUCACCUUUAUGAGGCAUGGCUUGCAGCCAUGCAGAGGGAAGAAUGUGUGGAAAUCAGGAACCCAUGGAAAUAUUCUUCUAAACCCAUAGAGCUGAUGCCAUUUGAGCAUAAACAUUAACAUUCUAAUCUAAAACGUUUUAUUCUUUACUGAAACUGACGUUAAGUGCAGUGAAUAACAUAAUCACUGAACAAUCCCAUGUGAUGGCGAAUGCUGUUGUUUUCAACAAAGACAAAACCAAAAGUAUAGACACUUACCUUCCUUCCCUCCUUUCUUUUUGCACUUUUUCAGUUCUUUCCUUCUCUUCCCUCAUUCUCCCUUGUUCUAAUUUUUUACAGAGGAAAAGAAAAGAAAAUGUUGAAACAGCAAAAGAAAUCUUUAAAGAAAUUGAUAUUUUGAAAGGUAAAUGUUAAAUAAAAUUGUGAGAAGAGCUUUUCACCAGCUCAGAAUAAUGGGUCUUAUUGUACUGCUCUUUCUGUGAACUCCUCAAACCUGUGGCCC